CAGCCGCCGCGGGUAAUACCAGCCCCGCGAGUGGUCGGGACGAUUAUUGGGCCUAAAGCGCCCGUAGCCGGCUCGGCAAGUCUCCUCCUAAAUCCCCGGGCUCAACCCGGGGGUUGGAGGAGAUACUGCCGAGCUAGGGGGUGGGAGAGGCCGAGGGUACUCCCGGGGUAGGGGCGAAAUCCUAUAAUCCCGGGAGGACCACCAGUGGCGAAGGCGCUCGGCUGGAACACGCCCGACGGUGAGGGGCGAAAGCCGGGGGAGCGAACCGGAUUAGAUACCCGGGUAGUCCCGGCUGUAAACGAUGCGGGCUAGGUGUUGGGUGGGCUUAGAGCCCACCCAGUGCCGCAGGGAAGCCGUUAAGCCCGCCGCCUGGGGAGUACGGCCGCAAGGCUGAAACUUAAAGGAAUUGGCGGG
Molecule: ribosomal RNA, 414 nt
Filed under: uncultured microorganism
Description: bacterial SSU rRNA
Rfam family: Archaeal small subunit ribosomal RNA
Source: RNAcentral